CUGCGGCGGUAGAGGAUGAUGAGUGGACGUCUCGUCUGUGGCGGUUUGGCAGCACUGAGGUUUGGCUCUGAAGCUGGAAACACACCUGCUCCCUGUCAGAAGAAAUGAUUCGAUCUGUUUUAUAAGAGGGAGAAAUGUCCAGUGCAGGUCCACGGCCAGUCGAAACUUUCCGGUGGACCACAGAAACGUCUUUGUGGAUUCCACCCUCCUAAAGUGUUCAUUUCAGACUUUCAGGUCGUAAGUGUUUCACCUGCUGCAAGUGUUCCACCUGCUUUACUCCACUCCUACUGCUGUAGCGCCCCCUACCUCCACCCCCACAUUAUACAGCCCUUUAUAUGUCAUUAUCAUCAUUAUUAUUAU
This is a long non-coding RNA of Silurus meridionalis, 360 nucleotides long. RefSeq lists it as uncharacterized. The record is from RefSeq and is a predicted model, not a curated record. The transcript has 3 exons. NCBI's taxonomy places the organism in Eukaryota, Metazoa, Chordata, Actinopteri, Siluriformes, Siluridae.